ACUAUUGGUUCUCAUGUAUAUCUACUUACUUUCUUUUGUGUGUUUAUUCAUAAUGGCCAGCAGGUCAGUGAAAUAUAUUCGGACGGGGACUUUAAGCCAUUUGAUGCAAUUGCUUCUACUUACAAUUCAUUUGUUCCACCUUCAACAUGAUAUGAAAAGCCAUGCCGCCACUUCCCAGCCAUCUGAUACAUUUUUCAUAAAAGCUUGCAAGUUGACGGACAAGUCCAAAAGGCAAAUUAACCAACUUGUAUAUAUUAGGAGUGUGGUGUGUGCACCAAGUAUUUGUCGCAAAGUUUAUCUACGACUAGCUAGUGACAACAUCUCUACCGGGAAGACACAGUGCAGGCCAGCGGGAAUGGAGAGCUAGCAGUAAGCAGUGUUGAUCCCAAGCCUUAUACUUUUCUACAUAGCACGGUGUAAGUUUUAUCACUUUUUUUCCAGUCUACUCAAACUAUGCUCAGUAUAGACAACUGGCUAGCUUUUGCUUUUUUGAGAAAAAAUAUAGUAUGGUACAAAAAUGCUUUGUUUUAUGGUUUCUGCCCCGAAACCAAUGCCAGUAGCCAUUUGACAUGGUGCAAACUCAGUUCUACUACAUAUUAUGCGGAACUGUGGUAAAUGAAAAUGUGAAAUUGAUGUCCA
Molecule: long non-coding RNA, 639 nt
Organism: Rosa chinensis
Lineage: Eukaryota; Viridiplantae; Streptophyta; Magnoliopsida; Rosales; Rosaceae
Exons: 2
Source: RefSeq, a predicted model, not a curated record